UACAGAGGUCUCAACCGUUGUUCGGAUUCAUUGGGCGUAAAGGGUGCGUAGGCGGUCGCGUAAGUCAGGUGUGAAAUCUCAGGGCUCAACCCUGAAACUGCACUUGAUACUGCGUGGCUCGGGUACUGGAGAGGAGACUGGAAUUUACGGUGUAGCAGUGAAAUGCGUAGAUAUCGUAAGGAAGACCAGUGGCGAAGGCGAGUCUCUGGACAGUUACCGACGCUGAGGCACGAAGGUCAGGGGAGCAAACAGG
RNAcentral lists this ribosomal RNA (253 nucleotides) under uncultured bacterium. Its description in RNAcentral is "partial 16S ribosomal RNA". It matches the Rfam family "Bacterial small subunit ribosomal RNA", at positions 524 to 776 of the family's 1533-position model. The record is from RNAcentral.